GAUGAACGCUGGCGGCGUGCCUAAUACAUGCAAGUCGAGCGAACGGACGAGAAGCUUGCUUCUCUGAUGUUAGCGGCGGACGGGUGAUUAACACGUGGAUAACCUACCUAUAAGACUGGGAUAACUUCGGGAAACCGGAGCUAAUACCGGAUAAUAUUUUGAACCGCAUGGUUCAAAAGUGAAAGACGGUCUUGCUGUCACUUAUAGAUGGAUCCGCACUGCAUUAGCUAGUUGGUAAGGUAACGGCUUACCAAGGCAACGAUGCAUAGCCGACCUGAGAGGGUGAUCGGCCACACUGGAACUGAGACACGGUCCAGACUCCUACGGGAGGCAGCAGUAGGGAAUCUUCCGCAAUGGGCGAAAGCCUGACGGAGCAACGCCGCGUGAGUGAUGAAGGUCUUCGGAUCGUAAAACUCUGUUAUUAGGGAAGAACAUAUGUGUAAGUAACUGUGCACAUCUUGACGGUACCUAAUCAGAAAGCCACGGCUAACUACGUG
This 497-nucleotide ribosomal RNA is filed under the name uncultured bacterium. Its description in RNAcentral is "partial 16S ribosomal RNA". It matches the Rfam family "Bacterial small subunit ribosomal RNA", at positions 28 to 507 of the family's 1533-position model. The record is from RNAcentral.